This is a long non-coding RNA of Salvia splendens (bonfire salvia), 2579 nucleotides long. RefSeq lists it as uncharacterized. The record is from RefSeq and is a predicted model, not a curated record. The transcript is spliced from 2 exons. Lineage: Eukaryota; Viridiplantae; Streptophyta; Magnoliopsida; Lamiales; Lamiaceae.
UCUAAAAAAAAAAAAGAAAAAAAAAACUUACGGGAAUUAUCAUUCACUCUCCUUCUAUACUUCCAAUAGACACACCUACACCACCGCCAUUCACAUACUGAGGAGGAUGACAGCCCCUCUCGCCGGCAACCACCGCACAAACACCUCUGCAACGUUUCUCUCUCUGUCUAACUCCAUCUUCAGCUGUUCAAACACGCACGUCGGCCUCGUUCUAUCUCUCUGCGCUGCUGCUGUCCGUCAAUUUCUAGCGCCCCCAUUCGCCGGAUUCCGAUAACUGUAUGAUAGUCUUGUCUAUCCUAUAGGAGCGCUGCAUUUCUGUGAUCUCUCGUCUUCUGGAUAACCGAAGCGAGGAUCGUUUAUCUGAUCUGAUCUGUCUGAUUAUCUGUCUUCAAGUGGCAUGCCAUAGGACAACAUCGCUGCAUUAUCUGUGAUUACUCGUCUUCUGGAUAACCGAAGCGAGGAUCAUCUCUGUCUCUGAUCUCUUUGAUCUCUGUCUCUGAUGUGAUCUCUGAUCUCAGUCUCUGUCUGCACCCUAAAUGGGUGGUCUGUACGGAGUCCUCUCGAGGAAAAAUUCCGCUCUGCAUCUGAUUCUGUUUCUGAUCUGGUCCGCGUACCCUAGUAUGUCACUAAGCACUUAAAGGGCUAUAUUUGUUCGUAUAUGUGAGAAUAUCAAUGAUCUGAUAUCUGUACAUGUGUUCAUAUUUUAAUAAGGUUGUAACGUAUUCUUUGAGUUCAAUUGAAUAAUUGGCGUGUUUAUCUGGAACAGCUAGCUUAUUUCUAUUUUGAAUUAUGUGUUAUAUAUUUUAUGAAUGGAUAUGUGAUUACUUAUUAUGUGUUAAAUUUAUUGAGAUUAAUGGUGACUAUGUGAGUGUGGAAUUGAAAUGGUUAAUGGUGUUGGUAAAGAAUAAAUCCGUAUAAAUCUGGUAAGUAAGUAUACAUGGGUUAGAACUAUGUGAGUGAUGACCUGUAUAAUAUAACUGUACAUUUCUGGACAUUUUAAUGAAGUGAUAUAUGAUUAUGACUUCGGUAAGUCCCAGGAAAGCAAGAGAGGAUGAUAUAAAGGUCAAAUGUAUUGUUGCUGGUUUUUUUUAAAAAUUAGAGAGUCAGAAGUCAAGUCACUAGUCAACACUUUUCCAUUUGGGUGAUUCUUUUGAAUACGCUAGACGUGGCAUGUCUAUAAAGAGUAAUGUUUCUUUUACUUCUGAAACUUUUGUUAGACAUGCAUAUUUGUAAAUAGUUAUGAGUUAUCCAGGUGGUUUAAUGUAUACUCCCUUCGUCCCGCUUUAGUAGUCCCGGUUGAAUAACUUUGGGCGUCCCGCUUUAGGAGUCCCGGUUGAGAUAAAUUAAUAAAAAAUGCCUACAAAGUGUUAAAAGUGUUAAAAGUGGGUUCCAACAUCCACUACAACUAAUAAAAAAGUGUUAAAAGUGGGUCCCAACAUCCACUACAACAUUUAUUUAUUGGACACUCAAUAAAAAGUGUGUCCCAACAUCCACUACAAUAUUUAUUUAUUACACACUCAACACUUUUUUCUUAAAACAUGUGCCCGACUCAACCGGGACUCCUAAAGCGGGACGGAGGGAGAAUAUGUUUGUACAUACAGAUUUUGGGAAUUAGGUUUGUGGUCUAAUUCUAGAUAUUAUAUAGCAGGUUUUUGGUUUUGCUAAAUAAAAGGAAUUAAGGUGUCUAUAUCUAAAAAGGGGAUUUUUCUCUGAUAAUUCAGGAUUUGCACCAAAUGUGACCUCAUUUAUUUGAUUAUUAAAAUAAUCGGGUAAUGGGUGUUACAAACUAUGGAUGCAACAAAGCAUCCAUUUAUUGUUGUCUUUAAACAAAAUACUAAAAUUGUCAAAUGACUAUUUUUGUAAACUACUGGUAAAACUUUCGCAUAUAAUUGUUGUCCAUGAAGCAAAAGAAACAGUUCAAAAUACUAGAUCAAAAUUAAGAAUGGUUGCUUAGAGCACCAACGUUUCCACGUCAACGACUAAGCGGGAUGACACCUCGUCAGUAUGACGUGGUAAAGCCAACGUGGUUGACACGUGAUGAAGUCCACGUCGUGAACGAACAUUGAUGCGCAGCGUGUCCCAAUACGUCCGUCCAGGAUCAGCCUCUCUAGCUCUCGUAACGGUUUGUAACGCAUGUAAUGCUCGACAGUUACAGUCUCGCAAUGAUGACAACCAUCAUGGUUGGUUGACCUUUGUUGUGGACUGAGCCUAUAAAUAAGCUAGUCAUUCCAUGCAUCUCUACACCAGUCAUAAGCAUUCUGCAUCAUAAGCUAUGCCCUCUCCUCCAUCCAGUUUGCCAUAGCUCUGCUGAUAGAGAUGAUCACCAGAGACGUAGUCGUUUUAUCUUUAAGGACGAAACGCCAAUCCGAGAGCACUAACGGGGCAUAUCUCGUCUUGCAGAAAGAGGACUGCUCGACUCGGCUAAUACUAUUUACGGUUUAUUGUUUCUUUUCCGUUGUAAUUUCGUUUCAUUUUCUCCAUUCUGUAUUCCUUCUUUUGGGUUGUAUUACGCCUGGUUUUAACUCUUGUAAUCAAGAAACCAACAGUAAUAAUGUAGUGAAGGUUUUAGUGUAUUACUA